AUUAACGCUAGCGGCAGGCAUAAUACAUGCAAGUUGAACGGCAGCACAGGUAGCAAUACUGGGUGGCGAGUGGCGCACGGGUGCGUAACACGUAUGCAACCUACCCUAUACAGGCGAAUAACCUUUAGAAAUGAGGGCUAAUACGCCGUAGUAUUACAGAUGGGCAUCUAUUUGUAAUUAAAGAUUUAUCGGUAUAGGAUGGGCAUGCGUCCCAUUAGUUAGUUGGUAAGGUAACGGCCUACCAAGACGAUGAUGGGUAGGGG
Molecule: ribosomal RNA, 263 nt
Filed under: uncultured bacterium
Lineage: Bacteria
Description: partial 16S ribosomal RNA
Rfam family: Bacterial small subunit ribosomal RNA
Source: RNAcentral